UACGGAAGGCAGCAGUGGGGAAUAUUGCACAAUGGGCGAAAGCCUGAUGCAGCUAUGCCGCGUGUAUGAAGAAGGCCUUAGGGUUGUAAAGUACUUUCAUCGGGGAGGAAAAAACAAAACUAAUAAUUUUAUUUCUUGACGUUACCCGAAAAAGAAGCACCGGCUAACUCCGUGCUAGCAGCCGCGGUAAUACGGAGGGUGCUAGCGUUAAUCAGAAUUACUGGGCGUAAAGAGCACGUAGGUGGUUUUUUUAAAGUCAGAUGUGAAAUCCCUGGGCUUAACCUAGGAACUGCAUUUUGAAACUGAAAUACUAGAGUAUCGUAGAGGGAGGUAGAAUUCUAGGUGUAGCGGUGAAAUGCGUAGAUAUCUGGAGGAAUACCUGUGGCGAAAGCGGCCUCCUAAACGAAUACUGACACUGAGGUGCGAAAGCGUGGGGAGCAAACAGGGAUUAGAUACC
This 457-nucleotide ribosomal RNA is filed under the name uncultured bacterium. RNAcentral's name for it is "bacterial SSU rRNA". It matches the Rfam family "Bacterial small subunit ribosomal RNA", at positions 340 to 786 of the family's 1533-position model. The record is from RNAcentral.